This 265-nucleotide long non-coding RNA is filed under the name Setaria viridis. RNAcentral's name for it is "long non-coding RNA (SVIR_LNC003519)". Lineage: Eukaryota; Viridiplantae; Streptophyta; Magnoliopsida; Poales; Poaceae. The record is from RNAcentral.
UGGUUUACUCAGGACAUAUAGUUUCAAAUAUUUUGGCUACUUUUAUUUUUUUACUUCAAACUCCUUUAGAGAAAGAAAUAGAAAUAUCAAUUGUGAUUUUACCCCUACUUAUUGAAAUCCAAGCCACCAUUUACCCCUAUUUUUGACUCCGUUAGUUAGAGCUGGAUUAAACAUUUUUUAAAAAACAAACCUUCAAAGUAAUGGGAAUAUACAAAACUACCCCUUAUCCACACAUACAGUAUACUUGAUAGUUGAUACACCGCCC